Oncorhynchus mykiss (rainbow trout) is the source of this 111-nucleotide non-coding RNA. The record is from RefSeq and is a predicted model, not a curated record. Lineage: Eukaryota; Metazoa; Chordata; Actinopteri; Salmoniformes; Salmonidae.
GUAUUAAUGGAGGUGUGUCUACUGAUACACUGUAUUAAUGGAGGUGUGUCUACUGAUACACUGUAUUAAUGGAGGUGUGUCUAUAGAUACACUGUAUUAAUGGAGGUGUGG